AGUGACUGUGCCAGUGCACCUGCUUGAGCUAGUUAUUAUUAUUAUCUCCAUUCUAGACAAGGUCUCACUAUGUAAUUCAGGCUGGCGUUGAACUCAUUACGUAGUCCAGGCUGGGCUCAAACUUGUGGUGAUCCUCCUGCUUCAGCUUCCUGAGUACUGGGAUUACAGAUGUGCACCAUCACACCCGGCUAUCAUAAUUUUCUAUGGUAGCCCAUGCUGUAUUUCCCAGACACAACGUGUAUAUUUAUCUUUGCUCUUGCCCUCUUAUUCUCUUUACUUGGCCCAAGCUCGCUCUGCAGAGCCAAUUUCUCUCCCGCUCUUCACUUUUACUCUUUUGGAUAAACUUUGCCACUGCUUUUUUUUUUUUUUUGUACCAGGGAUCGAACUCAGGACCUUCUGCUUUUGAGGUGGGCGGUGGCACCACUGAGCUAAAUCCCUGGCCCUGCCACUGCUUUUUGCUUGUUUCAUUGAAUUCUUUAUUCAAGAUGAGAAGAACCUGGAAUCCAACUCCAGAAGGACAGCCAGAUGAUUAAGAACUGAAACCUCUACAAACUGUAAGCCAAAUAGACCUUUCCCCCUUUAACUUUAGGUGUUGGGUAUUUUGUCUCAGCAAGGAGAGAAAAGUAACUAAGACAGAAUUUGGUACCAGAGAAGUGGGGUGGUUGCUGUGACAUUACCCGGCCAUGUGGCUCAAGGGCCUUUGGAACUGGCUUGUUGGAAGGGGAAGAGUUAGAACAGGUGUGGAGAUGCCAGCU
RNAcentral lists this long non-coding RNA (755 nucleotides) under Heterocephalus glaber (naked mole-rat). RNAcentral describes it as "lncRNA (ENSHGLG00000036259.1)". The record is from RNAcentral. Lineage: Eukaryota; Metazoa; Chordata; Mammalia; Rodentia; Bathyergidae.